ACCUGGUUGAAGGUUCACCUUCCAACAGGACAUCAACCCUAAGCAAACAAGUCUCUGACUGUCCAUGAGUGGGCCAGCAAUAGCCUGGACUUUAACCCGAUCAAACAUCUCUGGAGAGACCUGAAAAUAGCUGUGCAGCGAUCCAAUAGCUGUUCUCCCAACCUGACAGAGUUUGAGAGGAUCUGCAGAGAAGAAUGGGAUAAACUCCACAAAUACAGGUGUGCCAAGCGUAUGGAAGUAGCCAAGAAGACUCGAGGCUGUAAUUGCUGCCAAAGGUGCUUCAACAAGGCUAGUCCUCUGAAAGGUUCUGUAGUCCCGGUGAAUGCGACCUGCAUCGAUAGAGAGACAGCCCAUAGGGGCAAAGCACACAAGAAACAUGGAGGAAGCCCAAAUAAGUGCCAAUCCAGCCCACUGAUUUUGUAGUGAGGGGUGAGGAGGGAGGAAAGGAGGAAAGGAGGAAAGCAGUGAUGGAGUUGGGAUUGCUCAGGACUUCUCCAUUUUAAACCCGGACUGCUCGGGGAAACUCACUGAGAACUGGAUCGCCGUCUCCAAGGACAAAACUUCACAUCGCCAGCCAAGAGAAGCAUGCCCAAGAUGUUCUGCAGAUACAAAAUGGUGUAAUCACUUUAAGACAUCUGCCAGUGGUCCUCCCAACACCAGUCUACAAGAUAGGCAGGAAGACCUUCUGACCCACCUUCGAAGAAACCAGAAAGUCCUUCAUUGACUUGCAGCCUGUUGGGACCAACAUGGUUGAGUACCUGAGCCAGGCGGAGGUGACCAGAUCCUACAGAUGUAUGUUGGCUCUUGGGGACUGACCACAGGUUUUACAGUCAUUAGUGGACAGGUAUUGGAGCAAGGUAGAGUGCAUUCGGUAAGUAUUCAGACCCAAUGACUUUUUCCACAAUUGUUUAAGUUACAGUCUUAUUCUAAAUGGAUUAAAUACAUGUUUUUCCUCAUCAAUCUACACACAAUACUCACUAUCAUCUCUUCCCUCUGCUCAAACCUUCUCCAACCUAUCUCCUGAUUCUGCCUCCUCAACCCUCCUCUCCUCCCUCUCUGCAUCCUUUGAUUUCCUCUGUCCCCUAUCCUCCAGGCCGGCUCG
Salmo salar (Atlantic salmon) is the source of this 1102-nucleotide non-coding RNA. NCBI's taxonomy places the organism in Eukaryota, Metazoa, Chordata, Actinopteri, Salmoniformes, Salmonidae. The record is from RefSeq and is a predicted model, not a curated record.